Molecule: long non-coding RNA, 677 nt
Filed under: Homo sapiens (human)
Lineage: Eukaryota; Metazoa; Chordata; Mammalia; Primates; Hominidae
Description: OIP5 antisense RNA 1
Source: RNAcentral
AGGGUUGGCCACCUUGAGAAGCUGCGAAGAUGGCGGAGUAAGGCGUGCCGCUGCAAACUGGCCUCUGGGCCGGGGGCGAGCAGCCCCCGGGAGGCCGAGUGCAUCUGUUGGACCGUGCGAGGAGAAGAAAAAAAAUAUCGGCCAGAGGAGAGGAACUAACCGAACAUUCUUCCUCCCUACCUUAUAGAGGGGAGUGGUCAUCUACACUAAAGCAAAGUGUUAGGCGCGUCCGUGCGAAGAGACCACCAAACAGGCUUUGUGUUCCUUAUCACAGGAAGAAAAUUUUCCUUGACCUUUAGGUGCUUUUAUAUUCAUCUCAAAAACAAAAUUCUGAACUCAGGACUUGGCAAACGGAGUUUCACUCUGUUGCUCAGGCCAGAGUGCAGUGGCACAAUCUCAGAUCACUGCAACCUCUGCCUCCCGGGUUCAAGCAAUUCUCCUGCCUCAGCCUCCCGAGUAGCUGGAAUUACAGGGUCUCACUGUCGCCCAGGCUGGAGUGUAGUGGCACAGUUUCAGCUCACUACAACUUCACCUCCUGGGCUCAAGCGAUUCUCCCACUUCAGCCUCCUGGGUAGUCGGGACUACAGGCACAUGCCACCGCACUUGCUAAUUUUUUCAGUUUUUGUAGAGACAGAAUGUCAGUAUAUUGCCAGGCUAGUCUCGAACUCGUGAGCUCA